Marmota marmota marmota (Alpine marmot) is the source of this 107-nucleotide small nuclear RNA. The record is from Ensembl. NCBI's taxonomy places the organism in Eukaryota, Metazoa, Chordata, Mammalia, Rodentia, Sciuridae.
GUGCUUACUUCGGCAGUAUAUAUACUAGAAUUGGAACGAUACAGAGAAGAUUAGCAUGGCCUCUGCACAAGGAUGACAUACAAAUUCGUGAAGUAUUCCAUAUUUUU